CAGUAGCCGCGGGAAUACGAGGGGGGCAAGCGUUGUCCGGAAUUAUUGGGCGUAAAGCGUCUGUAGGUGGCUUUUCAAGUCCGCCGUCAAAUCCCAGGGCUCAACCCUGGACAGGCGGUGGAAACUACCAAGCUGGAGUACGGUAGGGGCAGAGGGAAUUUCCGUUGGAGCGGUGAAAUGCGUCGAGAUCGGAAAGAACACCAACGGUGAAAGCACUCUGCUGGGCCGACACUGACACUGAGAGACGAAAGCUAGGGGAGCAAAUGGGAUUAGAGACCCCCGUAGUCCCUGUCUCUUAUAC
RNAcentral lists this ribosomal RNA (301 nucleotides) under uncultured bacterium. RNAcentral's name for it is "partial 16S ribosomal RNA". It matches the Rfam family "Bacterial small subunit ribosomal RNA", at positions 509 to 807 of the family's 1533-position model. The record is from RNAcentral.